RNAcentral lists this ribosomal RNA (253 nucleotides) under uncultured bacterium. RNAcentral describes it as "partial 16S ribosomal RNA". It matches the Rfam family "Bacterial small subunit ribosomal RNA", at positions 524 to 776 of the family's 1533-position model. The record is from RNAcentral.
UACGUAGGGUCCGAGCGUUGUCCGGAAUUAUUGGGCGUAAAGGGCUCGUAGGCGGUUCGUCACGUCGGGAGUGAAAACUCGGAGCUUAACUCCGAGCCUGCUUCCGAUACGGGCAGACUAGAGGUAGGCAGGGGAGAGCGGAACUCCUGGUGUAGCGGUGGAAUGCGCAGAUAUCAGGAAGAACACCGGUGGCGAAGGCGGCUCUCUGGGCCUUACCUGACGCUGAGGCGCGAAAGCAUGGGGAGCGAACGGG